Molecule: ribosomal RNA, 470 nt
Filed under: uncultured bacterium
Lineage: Bacteria
Description: partial 16S ribosomal RNA
Rfam family: Bacterial small subunit ribosomal RNA
Source: RNAcentral
GACGAACGCUGGCGGCGUGCUUAACACAUGCAAGUCGAACGAGAUCCAAUGUGUAGCAAUACACAGGAAGAUCUAGUGGCGAACGGGUGAGGAACACGUGAGAAACGUACCCCAGACUUUGGGAUAACAGUCCGAAAGGACUGCUAAUACCAAAUAACGUCGGAAGUCCGCAUGGACAUCUGACGAAAGGGAUUCCGGUUUGGGAGCGUCUCGCGGACCUAUCAGCUAGUUGGAGGGGUAACGGCCCACCAAGGCAACGACGGGUAGCUGGGCUGAGAGGAUGGUCAGCCACACUGGGACUGAGACACGGACCAGACUCCUACGGGAGGCAGCAGUGGGGAAUCUUGCGCAAUGGGCGAAAGCCUGACGCAGCAACGCCGCGUGCGGGAAGAAGGCUUUCGGGCUGUAAACCGCUUUCAGUAGGAACGAAACUGACGGUACCUACAGAAGAAGGAGCGGCCAACUAUGUG